ACUAAGCGUACACGGUGGAUGCCCUGGCAGUCAGAGGCGAUGAAGGACGUGCUAAUCUGCGAUAAGCGUCGGUAAGGUGAUAUGAACCGUUAUAACCGGCGAUUUCCGAAUGGGGAAACCCAGUGUGAUUCGUCACACUAUCAUUAACUGAAUCCAUAGGUUAAUGAGGCGAACCGGGGGAACUGAAACAUCUAAGUACCCCGAGGAAAAGAAAUCAACCGAGAUUCCCCCAGUAGCGGCGAGCGAACGGGGAGCAGCCCAGAGCCUGAAUCAGUGUGUGUGUUAGUGGAAGCGUCUGGAAAGGCGCGCGAUACAGGGUGACAGCCCCGUACACAAAAAUGCACAUACUGUGAGCUCGAUGAGUAGGGCGGGACACGUGGUAUCCUGUCUGAAUAUGGGGGGACCAUCCUCCAAGGCUAAAUACUCCUGACUGACCGAUAGUGAACCAGUACCGUGAGGGAAAGGCGAAAAGAACCCCGGCGAGGGGAGUGAAAAAGAACCUGAAACCGUGUACGUACAAGCAGUGGGAGCCUCUUUAUGGGGUGACUGCGUACCUUUUGUAUAAUGGGUCAGCGACUUAUAUUCUGUAGCAAGGUUAACCGAAUAGGGGAGCCGAAGGGAAACCGAGUCUUAACUGGGCGUUAAGUUGCAGGGUAUAGACCCGAAACCCGGUGAUCUAGCCAUGGGCAGGUUGAAGGUUGGGUAACACUAACUGGAGGACCGAACCGACUAAUGUUGAAAAAUUAGCGGAUGACUUGUGGCUGGGGGUGAAAGGCCAAUCAAACCGGGAGAUAGCUGGUUCUCCCCGAAAGCUAUUUAGGUAGCGCCUCGUGAAUUCAUCUCCGGGGGUAGAGCACUGUUUCGGCAAGGGGGUCAUCCCGACUUACCAACCCGAUGCAAACUGCGAAUACCGGAGAAUGUUAUCACGGGAGACACACGGCGGGUGCUAACGUCCGUCGUGAAGAGGGAAACAACCCAGACCGCCAGCUAAGGUCCCAAAGUCAUGGUUAAGUGGGAAACGAUGUGGGAAGGCCCAGACAGCCAGGAUGUUGGCUUAGAAGCAGCCAUCAUUUAAAGAAAGCGUAAUAGCUCACUGGUCGAGUCGGCCUGCGCGGAAGAUGUAACGGGGCUAAACCAUGCACCGAAGCUGCGGCAGCGACGCUUAUGCGUUGUUGGGUAGGGGAGCGUUCUGUAAGCCUGCGAAGGUGUACUGUGAGGUAUGCUGGAGGUAUCAGAAGUGCGAAUGCUGACAUAAGUAACGAUAAAGCGGGUGAAAAGCCCGCUCGCCGGAAGACCAAGGGUUCCUGUCCAACGUUAAUCGGGGCAGGGUGAGUCGACCCCUAAGGCGAGGCCGAAAGGCGUAGUCGAUGGGAAACAGGUUAAUAUUCCUGUACUUGGUGUUACUGCGAAGGGGGGACGGAGAAGGCUAUGUUGGCCGGGCGACGGUUGUCCCGGUUUAAGCGUGUAGGCUGGUUUUCCAGGCAAAUCCGGAAAAUCAAGGCUGAGGCGUGAUGACGAGGCACUACGGUGCUGAAGCAACAAAUGCCCUGCUUCCAGGAAAAGCCUCUAAGCAUCAGGUAACAUCAAAUCGUACCCCAAACCGACACAGGUGGUCAGGUAGAGAAUACCAAGGCGCUUGAGAGAACUCGGGUGAAGGAACUAGGCAAAAUGGUGCCGUAACUUCGGGAGAAGGCACGCUGAUAUGUAGGUGAAGCGACUUGCUCGUGGAGCUGAAAUCAGUCGAAGAUACCAGCUGGCUGCAACUGUUUAUUAAAAACACAGCACUGUGCAAACACGAAAGUGGACGUAUACGGUGUGACGCCUGCCCGGUGCCGGAAGGUUAAUUGAUGGGGUUAGCGGUAACGCGAAGCUCUUGAUCGAAGCCCCGGUAAACGGCGGCCGUAACUAUAACGGUCCUAAGGUAGCGAAAUUCCUUGUCGGGUAAGUUCCGACCUGCACGAAUGGCGUAAUGAUGGCCAGGCUGUCUCCACCCGAGACUCAGUGAAAUUGAACUCGCUGUGAAGAUGCAGUGUACCCGCGGCAAGACGGAAAGACCCCGUGAACCUUUACUAUAGCUUGACACUGAACAUUGAGCCUUGAUGUGUAGGAUAGGUGGGAGGCUUUGAAGUGUGGACGCCAGUCUGCAUGGAGCCGACCUUGAAAUACCACCCUUUAAUGUUUGAUGUUCUAACGUUGGCCCCUAAUCGGGGUUGCGGACAGUGUCUGGUGGGUAGUUUGACUGGGGCGGUCUCCUCCUAAAGAGUAACGGAGGAGCACGAAGGUUGGCUAAUCCUGGUCGGACAUCAGGAGGUUAGUGCAAUGGCAUAAGCCAGCUUGACUGCGAGCGUGACGGCGCGAGCAGGUGCGAAAGCAGGUCAUAGUGAUCCGGUGGUUCUGAAUGGAAGGGCCAUCGCUCAACGGAUAAAAGGUACUCCGGGGAUAACAGGCUGAUACCGCCCAAGAGUUCAUAUCGACGGCGGUGUUUGGCACCUCGAUGUCGGCUCAUCACAUCCUGGGGCUGAAGUAGGUCCCAAGGGUAUGGCUGUUCGCCAUUUAAAGUGGUACGCGAGCUGGGUUUAGAACGUCGUGAGACAGUUCGGUCCCUAUCUGCCGUGGGCGCUGGAGAACUGAGGGGGGCUGCUCCUAGUACGAGAGGACCGGAGUGGACGCAUCACUGGUGUUCGGGUUGUCAUGCCAAUGGCACUGCCCGGUAGCUAAAUGCGGAAGAGAUAAGUGCUGAAAGCAUCUAAGCACGAAACUUGCCCCGAGAUGAGUUCUCCCUGACUCCCUGAGAGUCCUGAAGGAACGUUGAAGACGACGACGUUGAUAGGCCGGGUGUGUAAGCGCAGCGAUGCGUUGAGCUAACCGGUACUAAUGAACCGUGAGGCUUAACC
Molecule: ribosomal RNA, 2894 nt
Filed under: human gut metagenome
Description: bacterial LSU rRNA
Rfam family: Bacterial large subunit ribosomal RNA
Source: RNAcentral